RNAcentral lists this ribosomal RNA (252 nucleotides) under uncultured bacterium. RNAcentral's name for it is "partial 16S ribosomal RNA". It matches the Rfam family "Bacterial small subunit ribosomal RNA", at positions 524 to 776 of the family's 1533-position model. The record is from RNAcentral.
UACGUAGGGUGCGAGCGUUGUCCGGAAUUACUGGGCGUAAAGAGCUCGUAGGUGGUUUGUCGCGUUGUCCGUGAAAACUCACAACUCAAUUGUGGGCGUGCGGGCGAUACGGGCAGACUGGAGUACUGCAGGGGAGACUGGAAUUCCUGGUGUAGCGGUGGAAUGCGCAGAUAUCAGGAGGAACACCGGUGGCGAAGGCGGGUCUCUGGGCAGUAACUGACGCUGAGGAGCGAAAGCGUGGGAGCGAACAGG